This 4509-nucleotide unclassified non-coding RNA is filed under the name Helicoverpa zea (corn earworm). RNAcentral describes it as "rING finger and SPRY domain-containing protein 1- like, transcript variant X1". Lineage: Eukaryota; Metazoa; Arthropoda; Insecta; Lepidoptera; Noctuidae. The record is from RNAcentral.
UCACGCUCGCUUGACGUGAACCGACGUUUGCAAGUUCGCUGCGACUAGAAUUGUUUACAAAAAUAAAGUUUGCUUAAAACAUCAAUUAUUUUAACUUUCGAAGUGUAACUAGUUUAUAGCUGGUGAGUCGGCGGUGCUGAAAAUUUUUAUUCGAGGACACCCGAUGGACUAAAGCCGCGGUCAUGGGGACUUGCUGUAGCAAGGAGAUGCCGCGGACGGACGCGUAUGCACCGUCAACGGGGCCCGGCUCGUCCACCGCUCGGGCAUCGGAGCCCCGUGUUUCUGUGACCAAGGUGGAGCCCAGGAUCGUCGAUGAACUGGUUCUAGAGCUGCUGUCGUUGAUAGGGACGUUUGUUGACAAUGAAGAAGAAUCGCCCCUUUCGUUAGUCAAACUACAUGUUAUUGCCGAUAAAGAGGAAGGAUGGUUCCAAGUGGUUUCCUCGUUGAUCAAAAAGAUUCCACUGGAAAAUCCUUUGGGACCUUCCGCCAUUACCAUUGCAUUUGACGAUUGCCCACUGCCGUCUAAGGAGCAAGUGAUAAAGUUGAUGGAAAUGCUAGGACUGUCGGCUAUGCGGGCACUGUCGGGAGAUAUCAAUGUGCAAGUGGAGCGCAAUAUAUGCGUCAUCCUAGGAUGCAUUGCCGACAAGUUAGCUGGGCCUAACAGCAUAGCCGUGCUUACUGAAGAAACCCUUGACUAUAUGCUGUCUUUCGUGAUGUUCCGUCGUGAACCGCGCAUAGUGCUGUACGCUUUAAUAGCGCUGGAGAAGUUCGCUCACACCACUGAGAACAAGCUGACUAUCAAGGCAAGACUUGACGCUGAGGUGGACAAUCCGCUGAUGAAUUUGGAGCAACAUGCCGAAAGCGCCGACUUCACUUGGCGCCAGGUCGGCUUCUGCGCCAAGUGGGCGCUUGACAAUCUAUUUACGGUACCCGGCCGUCCUCUGAGUUACGAAACGGCGGACAUGUCAGAUAUUAACGCCAUUUUGAAUACGCAAGACGUGAGCGAGUACUUAAAGAUCUCGUGCGACGGCUUGGAGGCCCGAUGUGACUCGUACUCCUUCGAGAGUGUUCGAUGCACCUUCCCGGUGAACUUCGGAGUAUGGUAUUACGAAUGUACCAUUAUAACUCCGGGCGUUAUGCAGAUCGGCUGGGCUACUAAGAGCAGUCAUUUCCUCAACCAUGAGGGGUAUGGCAUCGGGGACGAUUUGUAUUCGCUAUCGUAUGACGGUUGCCGUAAGUUGAUAUGGCACGAGGCCAAGCCUUCGCCCGUCAAAGAUGUGGAUGUUUGGCAGCCGGGAGAUAUCAUCGGCUGCCUCAUAGACAUGAAUGAGGAAGAAGCGAUAUUCUCGCUCAAUGGACAACGAAUUCGUACUUGCACGAAUCUGUUUCGAGCUGCGCGUGUAAACCAAAUUGAUUUGACCAGAAACGGGUUCUUUGCUGCGGCUUCGUUUAUGGCUUUCCAACAAUGCCGAUUCAAUUUUGGAACUGAGCCGUUCAGGUUUCCGCCGACUGACCGAGCGUUUGGCAACUUCAACGAAUUUGGAGUACUCACUAAUGAUCAAAAACGGGUGGUGCCUCGUCGCUUAGAACUUGAGAAGCUGCGCAGCACGACUGCGAAGGAGAACUCGUGCACGCUAUGUUAUGAUGCUGACGCAUGCUGCGUGCUCGAACCCUGCAAGCACCGCGGGUUCUGCUCACUGUGCACAUCUCAGCUGAAGGAGUGCCCGAUGUGCCGCGCCGCGAUCGUGAACGUCACAACGGAGAACACGUGACAAGAGGACUCCUCGCUCUCGACGAUCAGCGAGCUCAACAGCCCCAACAUCACCUUCGAAGAGUCCCCCUCCCCGCCCUUCAACCGCCGCGUCCCCCAUCCCCUCACCCCCAACGGCUCCUCCACGACUACCAGCUCCUCCUCCACCUGGUCCCCAAUGAACCCCAACUUUCCCGAAGACGAACCCCGCGAUAUUAUCGCCUAUGUAAUACACGAAUCACGCAAGAAUAAGUCUCCGUGAACCGACAUCAACUCAAAUAUAAUAUUUUUCUUAAAUAAUGUGUUUAAUUAUAUGUGUAAUUUCUUCGUAGGAAUACGUACUGUUACCUUGUAGAUAAGAUUUUCCGAAAUCCAGCCAGUAGCAAAAAUACUAUAUCGUCACCGAUCCAUGUGUGUUGUCGUUUCCAUGCUGUCCCAAAUAUACAGUAUAUUUCAUCCAUACAUUCCUUAAACAAUAUAGAUGUUGUGAUUUUAUGACAUUAAACCAAUUGUUGUCUAUUUAAACCACCUAGGUGUUAAGAUUACUUGUCGAAAGUGUCAAGUUAAGCGCACAGUUACCAUCUAGAGGGUUUGUGAGUAAAGCACGAAGGUAAUUAAUACUUAUUAGUGAAAUAAAUAUAUGUAUAUUCAAAUAUUGUUAUUAGACUAGGAACUAUAUAAAUUCAUCAAUUUCGAUCCCAGGUGAGGCCUUUCAUAGUUUUAAAAUGGAACUAUGGAGACUGCAAAGCGACCACUUUAUGAUACUCGGCUUAGGAAAGAUUCAAUGGUGCGAUAAAAAAUCGAAUUUAGUAAGUAAAAUGAUGUAAGGAUAACCUGUGAAUGGUCUUACCAUUUAAAUUACAAUCUAUUAAAAUUCGACUACCUACUAUGUUUUGUUGAUAAGACUAUUUAUUUAGAAGUUUCUUUUGUUUGUAAUAGAAUUAAGAAAAUUAGGAACUUUACUCAUUGCCAACGGAGAAUUAGGUACUUAUUCAUCAAAUAUUAAAUCAUUUUCUUCACUUGUAUGUUUGCACCAAAGCUCUAUAUGAUAGCUUAAUUUCUUUUUAGUAACUUAUUGAGUAGGUAAAGUUAAUUGAAAGACGGUAUUAUUUUCGAUGCAAAAAUUUAUUAAUUGUAGGACUAGGAUUAAGUAUGAUUUUUCACUUAACUGUAGAUUCGUGCCAAAAUUUUGAACUUAGGAUUUAACUGCGAAAGAUGUAUUUAUGAUCUUAGUGCAACGUUUAUUCUCCUAACUUAAAAAAUAUCUAAGCGAAGUAAUAUUUAUGCUGCUUUUAAAUAAAAUUAUUAUAACAAACACGGCAAUGAGAAUGCCAGUGAAAAGCUUUGUCGUCUAGAGAAACAUCACAUCCCACGUUCAAACAAAAAAAUUAGCUCCUGUGGAUGAAAUAUCGACAAAGAGACAAUCUUUCUCUUUGUCGAUAUUUCAUCCACAGAGAUAGAUUUAUUCGUUUAAAAUUACUACAACAAACUUUCUGAAAAAAAGAUAGGAACAUAACAUAAAUUACUUAUAUCAAUUAAAAACAAACGAAUUUAAAAACUAUUUAGGAACUGUCUCACAGUUGACGUUCAAGUUAGAUAAGUAGGCGGUUGAUUAUUACCUAUUUACAUUUAGAAUAAGGUAGAUGCCAGUAACCAAAAUUCAUUGAACACCUACAAUAUCUUAGGGAGCCAAAACUCCGUGAAACCUUUGCAGGGUUAUUUUUGACGUAAUGGCCUAUAAUAUAGUAGAUCCUAAGGUGAAACCUAGUCACUUGUACAGUAAAUAAUAAGAUGGCCAAAUUAAUUAGUACCUACAAUAUUAACAUUUAAUGGGAUAGCAUCUUCUCAAGAACUUAAAUAAAUACUUAUGGUAACUGCUAAUAAAAACCGCUUACUUAGAAUAUAUAAAAAAAAAACAUGCGUCUUUAAUUUUGCUAAAAGUUAAUAUUUCGAAUAUAACGUUCAAAAUAUUUGAGGAAUCAUGUGAAAAAUGCUACAAAACCUAGUCUCGAAAUUGCGUUUUAAUUUUACAUAUUAUAAGUAAAGAAAAUGAUCUCUCGUAGUAGAAUGAUUGUGUAAUAGGUACUAAUCACGACUAUCCCUAGCUUAAUUCUGAGAAUAUCAUACCUAUUUCAUUAAAUCCACAGGACAUUUAACAAUAGGAUUCGAAUUGUACUGAGACGAGUAAGAUUAGUUCAUCCAAAUUUAUAUAGGUACCUUCUACCUAUAUCACAAAAUUAUUGCUGAAAUUUACCUAGAUGAUUAUUAAACAUACUUAGAUCAUUUAAUAUAAGAAGCCGUUAUUUACUUAUUUCAAAACUGUAGUUGUAGGAGAAAAUCACUCAACUAUUACACAUUAUUUAUUAUUAAAUUCAGCUUUUUGUCAAGGCAAGGCAAUGGGGUUGCUUGUUUAACUUUGUAUUUUAGAAUUUGUUGAAUUUUAGAUGAAUAGAUUGCCUAGAAUUACUGCCGUGGUGGCACCGGCCACUCACUGUGCAUUUAUUGAAGGAUGAUUUAACUUUUCUUGCAUUGAACGACAUAUGAACGACAAACGUACAACGAUAAUUUAUUCAACAUUUUUGUAGCUGUUGCUAAUUUAAACCCCAGAGUCUUUCCACUAUACACGAUCCAUGUUUUACAGCUUUAGAUUAAUUGUCUAGCUAUUAAAAAUUAGGCGAUUUCGCAUAAUUCUGAUUGUCAUUAUUGCAGUAGAUUGUGAUUUCCAACACUCGUUAGUCACAAAUAAAUGUUCAAUGAAA